Molecule: ribosomal RNA, 253 nt
Filed under: uncultured bacterium
Lineage: Bacteria
Description: partial 16S ribosomal RNA
Rfam family: Bacterial small subunit ribosomal RNA
Source: RNAcentral
UACAGAGGUCCCAAGCGUUGUUCGGAUUCAUUGGGCGUAAAGGGUGUGUAGGUGGCGCCGUAAGUCGGGUGUGAAAUCUCGGGGCUUAACUCCGAAACUGCAUUGGAAACUGCGUUGCUAGAGGGUUGGAGGGGGGACUGGAAUGCUUGGUGUAGCAGUGAAAUGCGUAGAUAUCAAGCGGAACACCAGUGGCGAAGGCGAGUCCCUGGACAACACCUGACACUGAGGCACGAAAGCUAGGGGAGCAAACAGG